Molecule: non-coding RNA, 151 nt
Filed under: Devosia lucknowensis
Lineage: Bacteria; Pseudomonadati; Pseudomonadota; Alphaproteobacteria; Hyphomicrobiales; Devosiaceae
Description: FMN sequence
Rfam family: FMN riboswitch aptamer (RFN element)
About the family: The RFN element is a highly conserved domain that is found frequently in the 5'-untranslated regions of prokaryotic mRNAs that encode for flavin mononucleotide (FMN) biosynthesis and transport proteins. This element is a metabolite-dependent riboswitch that directly binds FMN in the absence of proteins. In Bacillus subtilis, the riboswitch most likely controls gene expression by causing premature transcription termination within the 5' untranslated region of the ribDEAHT operon and precluding access to the ribosome-binding site of ypaA mRNA.
Source: Rfam by way of RNAcentral
CAUUGUUCUCAGGGCGGGGUGCAAUUCCCCACCGGCGGUAAAGGCAGCGAUGCCAAGCCCGCGAGCGCCUUCGGCCCCCAGGGUCCGAAGGGUCAGCAGAUCCGGUGCAAUUCCGGGGCCGACGGUAUAGUCCGGAUGAAAGAGAACGGGA